UACGUAGGUGGCAAGCGUUGUCCGGAUUUACUGGGCGUAAAGAGCGCGCAGGCGGUCGUUCAAGUCGCGUGUGAAAGCCCCCGGCUCAACUGGGGAGGGUCACGCGAUACUGAUCGACUCGAAGGCAGGAGAGGGUAGUGGAAUUCCCGGUGUAGUGGUGAAAUGCGUAGAUAUCGGGAGGAACACCAGUGGCGAAGGCGACUACCUGGCCUGUUCUUGACGCUGAGGCGCGAAAGCGUGGGGAGCAAACAGG
This 253-nucleotide ribosomal RNA is filed under the name uncultured bacterium. Its description in RNAcentral is "partial 16S ribosomal RNA". It matches the Rfam family "Bacterial small subunit ribosomal RNA", at positions 524 to 776 of the family's 1533-position model. The record is from RNAcentral.